UAAUACGAGGGGGGCAAGUGUUGUUCGGAAUCACUGGGCGUAAAGGGAGCGUAGGCGGGCGCUUAAGUGGGAUGUUUAAAACCGGGGCCCAACCCCGGAGCGGCAUUCCAAACUGGGCGUCUUGAAUAGGGGAGAGGUCGAUGGAAUUGGAGGUGUAGCGGUGGAAUGCGUAGAGAUCUCCAAGAACACCGAUUGCGAAGGCAGUCGACUGGACCCAUAUUGACGCUGAGGCUCGAAAGCAUGGGGAGCAAACAGGAUUAGAUACCCUGGUAGUCCAUGCCAUAAACGAUGAAUACUAGGUAUGGGACCCGUCAACGGUUCCGUGCCGUAGCUAACGCGUUAAGUAUUCCGCCUGGGGAGUACGGUCGCAAGACUG
RNAcentral lists this ribosomal RNA (376 nucleotides) under uncultured bacterium. Its description in RNAcentral is "bacterial SSU rRNA". It matches the Rfam family "Bacterial small subunit ribosomal RNA", at positions 521 to 896 of the family's 1533-position model. The record is from RNAcentral.